UACGAAGGGGGCUAGCGUUGUUCGGAUUUACUGGGCGUAAAGCGCACGUAGGCGGAUCUUUAAGUCAGAGGUGAAAUCCCAAGGCUCAACCUUGGAACUGCCUUUGAUACUGGGGAUCUUGAGUCCGGGAGAGGUGAGUGGAACUGCGAGUGUAGAGGUGAAAUUCGUAGAUAUUCGCAAGAACACCAGUGGCGAAGGCGGCUCACUGGCCUGGUACUGACGCUGAGGUGCGAAAGCGUGGGGAGCAAACAGG
RNAcentral lists this ribosomal RNA (253 nucleotides) under uncultured bacterium. RNAcentral's name for it is "partial 16S ribosomal RNA". It matches the Rfam family "Bacterial small subunit ribosomal RNA", at positions 524 to 776 of the family's 1533-position model. The record is from RNAcentral.